GAAGUUGUUCCUUCCUUCCUGUCAGUUGGCUGUCUGCACAGAGCAGAGCAGCUUCCUCACUUUGAAACCCUGAACUCACACAGGGAACGUGCUGAUGCUUCAGCGGGACAAGGAACAAAAGAGACGGAGAGAGAAAACAUCCCUUGAGCAGCUCGUCUUUUAGACUCUCGGAUGCUCUCAGCCUCCUCAUUGAGAAACGUGGAUGAGGCAAGCAUCCUGUCAGGAGAGCUGUGAGCAUGCCUGCCUGUGUUUACAAGCAAGGAGCCCUGGGUCUGGACAGAUAAUUAUGAGUUAUGAAAUGCUCCUCCUCCCCGGGUUCCUCUCCUCUCUCACAUUCGUCUACACACUCAGGAAGUCCAGAUAGAGGAGCAAACUGUGUUGUUUUCUGAGAGACGCAGACGGAGAUCCCUUCCCUCAGCUCUGAUGAUGGCGGUGACAUGAUGACCUGCGUCUUCACGUCACCCGUGGCCUUCAAAUCGGGAUGCAGAGUACAUUUGCUCAGCUUGAGCUGGAGCUGAGGCUUCAGGUUUUUACUCCUGACACUCUGUGUGCUGUAGUUGCUGCUGUGUGGAUGUGAAGCUCUCUGCGCUGAUGAUGAUGAGGAGGCCAGCCUUGAAUCAGGAGGAAAAACUCCAUUGUAGAGAAGCACAAACUCUCUCUGACUGGCCAAGGGAAGGAUUCUCUGCCUGAGACGGCACUUGUUGAAGAUCUCCAGAGUUAAAUCUAAAGAAAAGCAUCACAGCAAAUAUAAUUAAAAAAAUUUAACACACACAAUUUUUUUUUUAAAUGUAGCAUUUGAUUAAAGGAACUGUGACUGUGUCAUGCAAACAAUAAAAUAAUGAGUUUGUC
Molecule: long non-coding RNA, 849 nt
Organism: Pleuronectes platessa (European plaice)
Lineage: Eukaryota; Metazoa; Chordata; Actinopteri; Pleuronectiformes; Pleuronectidae
Exons: 3
Source: RefSeq, a predicted model, not a curated record